Molecule: ribosomal RNA, 301 nt
Filed under: uncultured bacterium
Lineage: Bacteria
Description: partial 16S ribosomal RNA
Rfam family: Bacterial small subunit ribosomal RNA
Source: RNAcentral
CAGCCGCCACGGGAAUACGUAGGUGGCAAGCGUUGUCCGGAAUUAUUGGGCGUAAAGCGCGCGCAGGCGGAUAGGUCAGUCUGUCUUAAAAGUUCGGGGCUUAACCCCGUGAUGGGAUGGAAACUGCCAAUCUAGAGUAUCGGAGAGGAAAGUGGAAUUCCUAGUGUAGCGGUGAAAUGCGUAGAUAUAUGGAGGAACACCGGUGGCGAAAGCGGCUCUCUGGCUUGUAACUGACGCUGAGGCUCGAAAGCCAGGGGAGCGAACGGGAUUAGAUACCCCAGUAGUCCCUGUCUCUUAUACA